CCUACGGGUGGCAGCAGUGGGGGAUAUUGCACAAUGGGGGAAACCCUGAUGCAGCGACGCCGCGUGGGUGAAGAAGCGCCUCGGCGCGUAAAGCCCUGUCAGUAGGGAAGAAAAUGACGGUACCUGUAGAAGAAGCCCCGGCUAACUACGUGCCAGCAGCCGCGGUAAUACUUAGGGGGUAAGCGUUAUCCGGAUUUACUGGGUGUAAAGGGGGAGCAGGCGGCGAUGCAAGCCAGGAGUGAAAGCCCGGGGCCGAACCCCGGGACUGCUCUUGGAACUGCGUGGCUAGAGUGCAGGAGGGGCAAGCGGAAUUCCUGGUGUAGCGGUGAAAUGCGUAGAUAUCAGGAGGAACACCGGUGGCGAAGGCGGCCUGCUGGACUGCAACUGACGUUGAGGCCCGAAAGCGUGGGGAGCGAACAGGAUUAGAUACCCGUGUAGUC
RNAcentral lists this ribosomal RNA (440 nucleotides) under uncultured bacterium. Its description in RNAcentral is "partial 16S ribosomal RNA". It matches the Rfam family "Bacterial small subunit ribosomal RNA", at positions 338 to 795 of the family's 1533-position model. The record is from RNAcentral.